RNAcentral lists this long non-coding RNA (4164 nucleotides) under Citrus maxima (pomelo). Its description in RNAcentral is "long non-coding RNA (CMAX_LNC002534)". Lineage: Eukaryota; Viridiplantae; Streptophyta; Magnoliopsida; Sapindales; Rutaceae. The record is from RNAcentral.
UUAAACCCGCAUAAAUUGGUGUAUGCCGUAUCGCAUUAGAUAAUUAAAACCCAUAAAAUCUCUCUUUUUUAUUCCAUCAAAACACGAUCCAUCAAGCAAAUCCAACAUUCGUUUAUUCAUCACCGAGUCACCACCGAUGCCAUUACCCCCAUUGCUCGAUGCCAUCACCGUCGCCAACAAGUGCUUCGUCGUGCCGCGUGAGACUUCCCAUCUGUUUCACCACUGACGCGCCUGCACUUUGCCGCCGAAUCAUCAAUCAACCGGUUAGUAUUUGGGUUUGAUUUUUCGAAUUGAACCACAAUCAGUUUAUUUUUCAUUACUUUUAUGUUGAAGCAUGUCUUUUUCUUUCUGGGUUUGAAUUUUUUUUUUUUUUUGGCUGCUGUUGUUGUGGGUAGCUAUUAAUUUCGUCAGUACUUUUUAGUUGGCUUCAUGAGUUGUUUUUUUAUUUUUACUUACAAUUAAAUCUUGUUUAAAUCUGAGCAAAUAGACUAAUUUUGCUUUUGAGAAAAUUAAUUAAAUAGUUAAACAAGUAAUUAAAAAAUUAAUUAGUUGAUGCGAUUAUACGGAGAAGAGUGAAGGGAGUAGAGAUGGAGAACAGGGAAUUGGAGGGGAUUUGUAUGUAUAGUUGGAUGGUAGGAUUUGGAACGGUGUCGUCUACCUGUACAAAUCUAAGAUAUUCCAUGAUGUUUAGGAAUCAAAAUUUAAUCUAAACUUGCAUAUGAGUGUGGAAAUUUUACUGCAAAGUACUGAUUAACGUUCUCAUGUUUUGAAUUGAUAGAUCACUUAGACUUUUAGUUUUCUAGCAUUUUGGACUAUGGUAUUCUCAUAUGCUUGUCUCGUUGACAUUAUUCCCAGGUUUUUUUGGUUUUGGACUUGCAUAGAGGCUUAUUAUAUGCUUUUUGGUUUUGAAUUUGCACAAAGGCUUUCUCAUAGCUUAUUGGUUUUGGAUUUGCACAAAAGCUUUUCUCAUAGCUUUUUUUUUUUUUUUUGAUAAGAGAGUGAAUCUUUCAUUCAAAAUAGGAAAGUACAUCAGGAGGAAAGUUGUCCUUCCAUGUGACAGAUUCGGAGCUUCUCAAAGCUCUUUCAGCAAGAGAUUGAGCACAACUGUUACAACAUCUUGAUACAUGUUGAAUUGUUAUCGGUUGGAACUUUUCCAUGUAGCUUUGAAUGUCUGAAAUAGCCCACAAAAUCUCCUUCCUGCUACUGGUUAUAUUGUUGGCUAAGUUGACCACUUCCAUACAAUCUGUUUCAAUAAUCACUGCCGAUAAUCCUGCUUCUAUUGCCAUUUCCAUCCCCCGUUUUACAGCCUCAGCUUCUGCUGCUGAAACAUUCCCUUGGGGCUUUGUGUUUUUUACUGCUACUGUCGCUACAACUUGGCCUUGUGAAUUUCUAAUAACAACCCUGAUUCCUGUAAGCUGUGCCCCUGCCUGAACAGCUGCAUCCACAUUGACCUUGUAAUACCCGAUAGGUGGAGGACACCAUUGUUUUUGCUUGCUAACACCAUCUCUUCUGUUUAUCUGCUCCGUUUCAUGCACUCUUUGAUAAGCCUCUAUAGUAGCUUUUGCCUUUGCAAUUAAUGUUACCGGCUUAAUUUUCUGCCUUCGAAUAUAAACUUGUUCCUAGCAUGCCAUAUUUCCUUCCAGACCGUUACCACAAACUCCACCUCUCUCUUGGGCAUCUAUCUCAACAGGCUCAGUAUAAGGCUUAGAAUAUCUUCUCUCACCAUUCCCUGCAAUUCAGAAUCUCCAUAAUUGUAUUUCCAGACCUUCCUAGCCACCUUACACUCCAUAAGUGCAUGAAAGACAUCCUCUACUCCUGUUUUACGGAUUUGGCAUGUUGGCUCCUGUUGAACUUGUUGGUACUUCAGCAUACUUGAGCUUGAGAGCUAAUUGGUAACCACUUCGUACUGUGUAUAUUCCUUUUUUGUCAUAGUGCCAUAACCAUUCAUCAUUCUUAGGCCAUCUUGGUAGGGGAAUUCUCUUAAUCAUCUCUGAAUCCUCUUUUGCUAAGUGCUUCUCAAUCAAACUAUUCUUCCAUUGGUGAUCUGCGCCUAUUAAGUCUACAACUUUGGUAUUUGCUGGUACAGAUGGAGCAAAAAUUGGCCUAAAAGUAGUCGGCCUUGGUAUCCGGUUGCUGGCCAUAACACAAAUUUUAUCUCCUCUUCCAACUCUCCAUCUUAUCCCCUGCUGCAGAAUUUCUCUACCUCACAAAAUGCUUCUCCAAAUAAAGGAUGGAUUAGAACCAACUUUGGCUUCCAUAAAAUCAGUUUGUCUGUAAUAUCUAGCUUUCAGCACUUUGGCCACUAGUGAAUCAGGGUAUUGUAAUAAUCUCCAGCCUUGCUUUGCAACGAAUGCCUGGUUGAAGCUUGAGAGAUCUUUAAAACCUAUCCCCUCUCUGAUUUUAGCCUUACUAAUCUUCUCCCAUUUUGCCCAGUGAAUACCUUUCUUGUCAUUUGUUGAGCCCCACCAGAAUCUCGCAAUUGCUCUCUGAAUGUCAUUGCAAAUAGCCAAAGGUAUUUUGAAGACACUCAUGGCAUAUGCAGGGACUGCCUGAGCUACAGCCUUGAUCAAAACCUCUUUUCCACCACUGGAGAAGAAUUUAUGCUGCCAAUUCGAUAAUUUGCUCAACAGUUUGAGCUUAAUAUCAUUGAAAAAGCUGGUCCUCUUUCUUCCCACCAUUGAAGGCAGUCCCAAGUACUUCUCAUGUCUUGAGACCACAUUCAGCUGAAAAAUGUCCUUUAUUGCUGCUAUUUGUCCCUGUGGGAUUUUACCGCUGAAAAACAUUAAUGACUUGUCAUAAUUGAAGAGCUGGCUAGAGGCCGAAGUAUAGUACUCGAAAAUUGCUUUCUCAUAGCUUUUUGGUUUUGGAUUUGCACAAAGGCUUUUCUCAUAGCUCUUUGGCUUUGGACUUGUACAGAGGCUUAUAUGCUUUUCUCAUUGACAUUUAGAUCCAAUUUCUAAUUCUUUUUGGAUUUACAGUGUUCUGAAAAUCAUACCUUUUCCCACAAUAUUGAUGCUGCAAAUCAAUCUGAAAGUGCAUGCUUAAGUAAUUAACAAUAGCUUUUUUUUUUAAUAUCAUGAAAUUAUUUUAAUAUCAAUACUCAGUGUGAAAAUGCAUGCUUGAGUAAUUGAAAAAAAUAUGUUUUUCUUUUUAUUUGUUGUUUUAGAUAUGGACAUGAGAAUAGAAAUUUUUUUCGUCAAAUGGCAAACGAAAUUAAGGUUCAUGUUCAUUGUGAUGUUUUUUCUCCAUGUUUACUUUAUCUGCAUUAAGUGAUGCAGAUAGUUGGCAAUAUGGUUCAAGCUGUAGCAACUGUGUAAUGAUCAUCCGUGUUAUUGAUCCAAAUAUAUUCAUAAUGAUGUAGUAAGGGAUUUACUUUUGUUUAUGACAUUGCAAACUUGAUCAAACUUGUUAUUGAUCCAAAUAUAUUCAUAAUGAUCCAAAUAUAUUCAUAAAGGUCCAGCAUCAUCAGCUCUUUCUUUUCAACCCACUCAUGUUGCCAACCCCCUACCGGAUCGGCGGAAACCGAAACCAACCUACACCGGCUACUUUAACUCAACUUUUUGGUCAAAUCACAGCUAUUUGAGACAAACCACCACCAGCAUCACACUCACCACCAUCAAAUCUUCCAGAUCCACUUAUCCUAGGCCAAUUUUUCAACCACCGUCGCCGGCAGCACCAACUUUUGCCUAUUUAUAAUUUUGCCCCUUUACUUUUCUAUGCUUAUACUAUUGCCUAUAAUUUUCUGUUCUUUAAAAAAAACCCAAAAACCAAACAAACUUAUAAAAAAAAUAAAUUAGAAUUUACUAGGAAUUAUAAUAUUUGGGUCAAUUUAGAAUUUAGUAUUUUAUUAGGAUUUAUCUUAUUUUAUUAAGCUUACUUGAGUCAUAUUUAUAAUUCUAAUCUAAUUCGAAUUUCAGAUUAUUUCUCUUAUUUGAGAAAGAUAAGGAUUAGGUUAGCUACUAUUAUAUAUAUAGGCUUGUUAUUCUAAAUUUUUGAUAACAGACACAAGUUUCUCAUUAAUAAUAUUCAGCUUUUUCUCAAUUGAAACGUCUUCUCUUUGGUGAGAGUCUAUUUCUUAAGUUUUCAAGACGUAUGCUAGAACGAAAUCUUGUAUCGCUUCCGCCUUGCGUUAAAGCAUCAUCUAAUCAUAGGGUCUUGUUAUAG